RNAcentral lists this ribosomal RNA (375 nucleotides) under Bhargavaea cecembensis. RNAcentral describes it as "bacterial SSU rRNA". It matches the Rfam family "Bacterial small subunit ribosomal RNA", at positions 1065 to 1441 of the family's 1533-position model. The record is from RNAcentral. Lineage: Bacteria; Bacillati; Bacillota; Bacilli; Caryophanales; Caryophanaceae.
UCGUGAGAUGUUGGGUUAAGUCCCGCAACGAGCGCAACCCUUGAUUUUAUUUGCCAGCAUUCAGUUGGGCACUAUAAGGUGACUGCCGGUGACAAACCGGAGGAAGGUGGGGAUGACGUCAAAUCAUCAUGCCCCUUAUGACCUGGGCUACACACGUGCUACAAUGGACGGUACAGAGGGCUGCAAACCCGCGAGGGGGAGCCAAUCCCACAAAACCGUUCCCAGUUCGGAUUGCAGGCUGCAACUCGCCUGCAUGAAGCCGGAAUCGCUAGUAAUCGCGGAUCAGCAUGCCGCGGUGAAUACGUUCCCGGGUCUUGUACACACCGCCCGUCACACCACGAGAGUUUGCAACACCCGAAGUCGGUGGGGUAACCC